GUGCCAGCAGCCGCGGUAAGACGUAGGGGGCGAGCGUUAUCCGGAUUCACUGGGCGUAAAGGGCGCGCAGGCGGUUACGUAAGUCCGGCGUGAAAUCCCACGGCUUAACUGUGGAACUGCGUCGGAAACUACGUUGACUUGAGGAUGGUAGAGGCCAUUAGAACUAGCGGUGUAGCGGUGAAAUGCGCAGAUAUCGCUAGGAAUGCCGGUGGCGAAGGCGGAUGGCUGGGCCACUCCUGACGCUGAGGCGCGAAAGCUAGGGGAGCGAACCGGAUUAGAAACCCUCGUAGUCC
This 293-nucleotide ribosomal RNA is filed under the name uncultured bacterium. RNAcentral describes it as "partial 16S ribosomal RNA". It matches the Rfam family "Bacterial small subunit ribosomal RNA", at positions 505 to 796 of the family's 1533-position model. The record is from RNAcentral.